CUCUGUUGGCAUUCUACUUUUCAGUUGUUCAAUUGAGUCAUGGAGUCAUUACUUUGCUACUGCCAUGGAGUCAUUACUUUGUUGAUUAAAGCAAUAAAUAAAUAACUAUUUUUUUUAUAAAGAAAAUAUAUAAAAUUGCUGGAGAGAAGGUUCUGAUUCUGAUGAUGUUCACUAAGGAUCAAGAUGCAGAUAUUAGAUAUUGGCCAGUGGGUUCUGCUAAUUAUGAAAGCAAACAUAUGUAUACCAAAAGUGUCACAAGGAUAAUUCAAGAACGAAAACCACACAUACCGGGAUACUUUUUACUACAAGCAUAAAUUGGAUGAUAAACUUUAAAAUUGAUAAACAACAAAUGUCUUACAACAAACUCUUACAAUGCACUUAAUUUGACUCCGUCAAAUUGUUAGAACAAAUUCAAUCAACUAUUCCCUUUCCUUUCCCCACUUUACGGAGGUUUUAAAUCGAAAGAAAUAUUUCGUGAACACCCCACUUUGGCAGUAGCUCAAAUUUGUAAAUCCAAAUACAUCUGCUCAUCCAAAGUGCCAAAAAUGUAGUUACCAAAAGCCCAUCAGAAUCCUAGUACAAGUUAAUAUAAAUUUUCAUCACUGUCAUUACAAUUCCUCUCCACCACAGUCAUAGUAUAGCUAGAACCACUCUUCUUCCAACACUCUCCUGAUCUCCUCCUCGUUGAACUUGUCGUUGUAUACCUUUAGUUUUGCCAUCAAAGGUGGUAAAUCCCCAAAUGUAACUUUGCCAUUCUGAUUCUUUAUAGAUAUGAACUAAAAACAAUAAAAACAAUGACAAGAACAAGAACAAUGACAUGAACCCCACACUUCAAACAUCAAUUAAGUACACAACAAUGCCCAAAAACAAGUUCCAAAAUUCUCAUUGUGAAAGCAAAUUUAUUUCACCACACGAUUCAACAAUAGCACCAAAAAACAAAUAAGAAAAAAAAUUAUUAAAUGGAAGUUACUUUGGAUUUGAGGCUCCGAAGUUCGACUUGCGUAAACUAACUCUAAAGCCAUUGAUCGGACACAAUAACUCCCCCAAAACUAGACAUCUCUUCGAUGCCCCUACGCUUCCACAAAUCACGGGAAAAAUGAUAAAAUGCACUCCAAAGAUACAACUAAUCUGAGAAAAAAAAAGUGUUGUUGUGGAAGAAUCGAUCUGGGGAGGAUUUUGCAGGAAAUUGAUUUGGGGCUAGGGUUUGGAUUUCGAAUUGGGGAUGGCAGAAUAUGGAUUGUGAAAUUAUGAGAUGAAUUAUCGUGUUUUUAGCUGUGAAAUCGCGUCCACCGUGGCUGAGAUUGAGGCCGUCUCUUGCCACACCGGUUGCCGUCAAGCCACGUGAGACUUGUUCAAACGGCCGGAUGGCUAGGUAAUGGAUGGAGCGGUUCAUUUGUAAGUUCAAUGACCGUUGAGCAGCAAACUAAAGUUCAGUGACUAUAACGUGACAGAGAGCAAAGUUAAGUGAGUGAUGAAAUUUUUUACUCGAGACUAAUUUCCCCUUUUAAUUUUGGGUUUAAGCCUUUAUACACAAUUAAUUAUAUUCCAACAUAUCUUCUUCAAUCACUUUCACUUGCACGAAACCGAACUUCAUUGUUCAAGAAAACAAGCCUUUUUUCUCCCGCGGUUCAAAGCAUCAGAUUCGAAAUGGCUUUGGCGGUCACAGUUGCAACACCAAAAAGGU
Molecule: long non-coding RNA, 1684 nt
Filed under: Olea europaea subsp. europaea
Lineage: Eukaryota; Viridiplantae; Streptophyta; Magnoliopsida; Lamiales; Oleaceae
Source: RNAcentral